Molecule: non-coding RNA, 85 nt
Organism: Acanthosepion pharaonis
Lineage: Eukaryota; Metazoa; Mollusca; Cephalopoda; Sepiida; Sepiidae
Source: the annotation of a GenBank genome assembly
UCUCGUACGAUCACCGAAGUUAAGCAAUGUCGAGCCGGGUCAGUACCUAGAUCGGUGACGACUUGAGAAUACCCGGUGCUGUAUG